This is a non-coding RNA of Callithrix jacchus (white-tufted-ear marmoset), 469 nucleotides long. Lineage: Eukaryota; Metazoa; Chordata; Mammalia; Primates; Cebidae. The record is from RefSeq and is a predicted model, not a curated record.
GUUUUUUCUCUAGAUAUGGGAUUUCAUCAUGUUGGCAAGGCUGGUCUUGAACUCCUGACCUCAAGUGAUCUGCUGGCCGCAGCCUCCCAAAGCACUGGGAUUACAGAGAAAGUGUAUCUCCCAGGCUGAAAUGCAGUGGUGCAAUUACAGCUCACUAGAGCCUCAGCCUCCUGGGAUCAAGCCAUCCUCCCACCUCAGUCUUCAGAGUAGUUGAGACCACAGCCUGCCAAAGACAGACACCAGCUCAGCUCUGGCUGAAUGAUGGCAGAUUUCGAUUUGGAAUUGUCUGCAUUUCACCCAUGAGUCACUGAUGUGCCUCCACUUCUCCCAGGGGAUUGCUGGCUUUACAACAACAUACACCAAGUCUUCAGAAUCUUCUAGAAGCUCAAUAACAAUUCCUACCCAAAGCCUGAAUGCUAUUCCUGAGUCAACAGCUGUGUUUGUCUUUUCUCCCCAGUUGUCCUGGCUG